AGUGAACGCUGGCGGUAGGCCUAACACAUGCAAGUCGAACGGCAGCACAGUAAGAGCUUGCUCUUACGGGUGGCGAGUGGCGGACGGGUGAGGAAUGCAUCGGAAUCUACUUUUUCGUGGGGGAUAACGUAGGGAAACUUACGCUAAUACCGCAUACGACCUACGGGUGAAAGCAGGGGAUCUUCGGACCUUGCGCGAUUGAAUGAGCCGAUGUCGGAUUAGCUAGUUGGCGGGGUAAAGGCCCACCGAGGCGACGAUCCGUAGCUGGUCUGAGAGGAUGAUCAGCCACACUGGAACUGAGACACGGUCCAGACUCCUACGGGAGGCAGCAGUGGGGAAUAUUGGACAAUGGGCGCAAGCCUGAUCCAGCCAUACCGCGUGGGUGAAGAAGGCCUUCGGGUUGUAAAGCCCUUUUGUUGGGAAAGAAAAGCAGCAGGUUAAUACCCCGCUGUUCUGACGGUACCCAAAGAAUAAGCACCGGCUAACUUCGUG
This 492-nucleotide ribosomal RNA is filed under the name uncultured bacterium. RNAcentral describes it as "partial 16S ribosomal RNA". It matches the Rfam family "Bacterial small subunit ribosomal RNA", at positions 29 to 507 of the family's 1533-position model. The record is from RNAcentral.